This 2027-nucleotide long non-coding RNA is filed under the name Ailuropoda melanoleuca (giant panda). RNAcentral describes it as "lncRNA (ENSAMEG00000025146.1)". The record is from RNAcentral. Lineage: Eukaryota; Metazoa; Chordata; Mammalia; Carnivora; Ursidae.
AUUUCUAUUCAAGAUGGUUAGAUCAUAUGAGAGUCAAAAAUUCCUAAAAAUCCUCAAGACUCAGUUUUACUGCCUGAAUUUUAUGACUAUUUAUAAGAAGUCUAAUCAGGGCCAUGAAAGUUAUUAUCAUUUUGAUCAAUGCAGGAAGGAACAGGUCUAAAAGCUGUCAUUUAACAAAAUAAUAAUAAAUCUCUCAUUCAUUCAUAUAUUUAAGGAAUAUUUAUCAACUGUUCAUGAUAUUCUAGGUGCCAGGAACAGUGGGGCAAUUAGACAAACCAUGGACCCUGUCCUCACAGAGUCUAGUGAAGAAGAGCAGGCAGUUGAAAGAUUAACAAUGAACUGGGUGAAUGUUAAGACGGGAUAAAUACAGGGAAGUGUGAGGCCAUGCAAAGCUCCAUUAAACCUUGUGGGAAGGUAAGGUGAAGCUGAGACGUGAAGAAUGAAUAAAGGUAGCUGACUGUGUGCAACGUACCUUCUUGCUUCUGUCUUGGAACCCACUUCCCUCAUUCCCUACACGCCCUCCCCACCUCUUCAUUCCUUCUCAUCCUCUUGGAUUUAGUUUGGGUAGCAUCUCUUCAAGGAAUUCUUCUCUGAAUCCUCCAACUCUACCAGUCUAGAGGGGACACCCCACCCCAAUGCUCUCACUGAACCCAUAUAUAUCUGCCUCCACCAGUCCUCUAAUUGCCUAUAUAAUCUUGGUCUCUUGUGCUAAUAAAAUUCAAGAAGAGGCUUUUUUGAAGCUUCUAAGAAGGCUCUUCUAGACUUCCAAAAAGCCUCUGAAAUAGCCCCUUUCACUUGACAGCCACCUUGCUACUAGCCACUGAUGAAGCUGACACACAGAGAGAGAAAGGAAAAAGCAUGGGAGGAAAACGGAGUCAAAACUACUGGAUUACAAUGUUCCUGAAUUCCACUCUGCUCCUGGACUUUCAGUGUGAGCAACUAAAUCCAGUAACCAGUGAACCACGUGACCAAGUGAUCUUCAUGCUUCUAAGAAGUUCUGACUGUAGACUUUAUCCCUGGAAUGGGAUUUAACUCCUUCUGGUCUGUAUCCCAUUUGUAACUGACUAACUUUGCAAAUAGAAGAAGAAUCCAUAGUAAAAAUUUCCCUACUUCCAAAUCCCAUUAGCUAAAUAAACAAUACUUGAUUUACUCCAUCUAUGAACAAACUCAAGAUGUUAUAGACCCCAAACUCAGAUAAAAACUAAACUCUUAAAAAAAAAAAAAGUAGAUGUCCCUACAUAAGUGUUCCAAUUUAGAGCAAUUAAAAAUUGCUUUGGCAAGAUGCCUGGUUGGCUCAAUCGGUUAAGCAUCUGCCUUCAGCUCAGGUCAUGAUCCUACGGUCCCAAAUUCCAGCCCCAUGUUGGACUCCCUGCUCAGCAGGGAGUCUGCUUCUCCCUCUCCUUCUGUGCUCUCACUCUCUCUCAAAUAAAUAAAUAAAAUCUUUUUAAAAAUUGCUUUGGCUACCUUUUAUUUUGCAAAUCAGAUAUUCCAGAACCACCUUUAUUUCCAAACGUAAAAGCAUCCCACUGCACACCUCAACAGAAUUGCCUGUAUAUCCUUAAUGUCUUUCCAAGUAAUUUUAUGCAGUCAGCACCCUAUACAUUAGGGAAGGAAUGGAUGUAUGCUCUAUGGAUUUCUUAUAAUAGCAAUGAACCUUCAUAAUCAGACCCAUUUCUUGAUUUUGCUUACUUUUUUAUGCAGCCACAUUAAUACUACAUUGUCAGACAAAGACAAGAAUGAACAUGAGACUUGAGUUAAAAAAAACAACAACAAUAACAAUACAGCCAUCCAAGGAACAAGUGCUGACCUUGUGAAAAAAACAGCUCCCAUUUUAUUAAAUAAUAGCGUUCAAGCAGGGAUGUCUGAAGUACUCUGCAAGGCUAAUUAGGACAGAUCAAUGUACACUUACCUCUCCAGAAGGCUGAAAGGUGUGUAGUGACUAUGUGUCAUUAAAAAUUUACUUGACCAUGGGCAUCAGAUGUGCAUGAGAGAAUGACCCUGGUGAGCACUCUAAGUUUCCAUUUUAC